This 465-nucleotide ribosomal RNA is filed under the name uncultured bacterium. RNAcentral's name for it is "partial 16S ribosomal RNA". It matches the Rfam family "Bacterial small subunit ribosomal RNA", at positions 28 to 507 of the family's 1533-position model. The record is from RNAcentral.
GAUGAACGCUGGCGGCGUGCUUAACACAUGCAAGUCGAACGGAAAGGCUCCUGCUUGCAGGGGUACUCGAGUGGCGAACGGGUGAGUAACACGUGGGUGAUCUGCCCUGCACUUCGGGAUAAGCCUGGGAAACUGGGUCUAAUACCGGAUAGGACCACAUUUUGGAUGGUGGGGUGGAAAGUUUUUCGGUGUGGAAUGAGCUCGCGGCCUAUCAGCUUGUUGGUGGGGUAAUGGCCUACCAAGGCGUCGACGGGUAGCCGGCCUGAGAGGGUGUACGGCCACAUUGGGACUGAGAUACGGCCCAGACUCCUACGGGAGGCAGCAGUGGGGAAUAUUGCACAAUGGGCGGAAGCCUGAUGCAGCGACGCCGCGUGGGGGAUGACGGCCUUCGGGUUGUAAACUCCUUUCGCUAGGGACGAAGCGCAAGUGACGGUAACUGGAGAAGAAGCACCGGCUAACUACGUG